This 73-nucleotide transfer RNA is filed under the name Salinivirgaceae bacterium. RNAcentral describes it as "tRNA-Lys". It matches the Rfam family "tRNA". Rfam says of the family: Transfer RNA (tRNA) molecules are approximately 80 nucleotides in length. The record is from RNAcentral. Lineage: Bacteria; Pseudomonadati; Bacteroidota; Bacteroidia; Bacteroidales; Salinivirgaceae.
GACUCGCUAGCUCAGCUGGUAGAGCAACAGACUCUUAAUCCGUGGGUCCGGGGUUCGAUCCCCUGGCGGGUCA